GCGGGGCUGCCUGGUGCGUCAGGCAAUUCAACCCCCGGGCCGAUAAGCACUUCCUCGGGAGCUGGCUCUGUCAUGGCUCUUGGCCAUGUUACCCGGCGCCCACCUGCACAUGCGGGUUCUGGGAGGCUGACAGUCCAACGGCCGAGGCGGCUCCGCA
RNAcentral lists this non-coding RNA (157 nucleotides) under Lichenicoccus roseus. RNAcentral's name for it is "6S / SsrS RNA". It matches the Rfam family "6S / SsrS RNA". From Rfam's summary of the family: E. coli 6S RNA was the first non coding RNA to be sequenced, but its function was unknown until recently. It consists of 184 nucleotides that fold into an extended hairpin structure with a large single-stranded internal bulge. The 6S RNA specifically associates with RNA polymerase holoenzyme containing the sigma70 specificity factor. The record is from Rfam by way of RNAcentral. Lineage: Bacteria; Pseudomonadati; Pseudomonadota; Alphaproteobacteria; Acetobacterales; Acetobacteraceae.